RNAcentral lists this ribosomal RNA (301 nucleotides) under uncultured bacterium. Its description in RNAcentral is "bacterial SSU rRNA". It matches the Rfam family "Bacterial small subunit ribosomal RNA", at positions 28 to 329 of the family's 1533-position model. The record is from RNAcentral.
GACGAACGCUGGCGGCGUGCUUAGCACAUGCAAGUCGAGCGGUAAGGCCCUUUCGGGGGUACACGAGCGGCGAACGGGUGAGUAACACGUGGGUGACCUGCCCUUAGCUCUGGGAUAAGCCUGGGAAACUGGGUCUAAUACCGGAUAUGACUCCAUGACGCAUGUUGUGGGGUGGAAAGCCUUGUGCGGCUGAGGAUGGGCCCGCGGCCUAUCAGCUUGUUGGUGGGGUGAUGGCCUACCAAGGCGACGACGGGUAGCCGGCCUGAGAGGGCGACCGGCCACACUGGGGACUGAGACACGG